UGACCAGCAAGUAAACGAAGUCCACAGU
This 28-nucleotide non-coding RNA is filed under the name Mus musculus (house mouse). The record is from RNAcentral. Lineage: Eukaryota; Metazoa; Chordata; Mammalia; Rodentia; Muridae.